GACGUAGGGCGCGAGCGUUGUCCGGAUUUAUUGGGCGUAAAGAGCUCGUAGGCGGCUUGUCGCGUCGUGUGUGAAAUCUCAGGGCUCAACUCUGACAUUGCAUACGAUACGGGCAGGCUUGAGUUCGGUAGGGGAGACUGGAAUUCCUGGUGUAGCGGUGAAAUGCGUAGAUAUUGGGAGGAACACCAGUGGCGAAGGGCGGCUCACUGGACCGGAACUGACGCUGAGGCGCGAAAGCGUGGGGAGCAAACGGGG
Molecule: ribosomal RNA, 255 nt
Filed under: uncultured bacterium
Lineage: Bacteria
Description: partial 16S ribosomal RNA
Rfam family: Bacterial small subunit ribosomal RNA
Source: RNAcentral